Molecule: long non-coding RNA, 10557 nt
Organism: Alligator sinensis (Chinese alligator)
Lineage: Eukaryota; Metazoa; Chordata; Crocodylia; Alligatoridae
Exons: 3
Source: RefSeq, a predicted model, not a curated record
UUUAUUGAUACACAGUAAUAGCACGUAAGAAUGAUGCAAACAAUUCUAUUUAUCUACCAGUCCCAGGGUUCAUAGAGUCAAGGUACAUCUGGCCAGUACACAAGCUUCACUGUGAGGUUCUUUCUUGGAUGUCAGAUGUCAGCAACCUGAAGGUUGGAGGGCUCACGUCCCCCUCCGCCUGUGGUGUAGAUUAGACAGGCUGGUGGUAUGUCCUCUGUCCAUGGUGGCUUUGGGUUCCCCUCUCAGGAACCCUCUUCCGCUCUAAAAUCCCUCCUUUUAUAUCUUUUCCCCUCUGUGAUGACUCUUCAUCUUUGGGCAUUGCUGAUUGAUCUCUCUAUUGUUGUCAUACCAUCCACAUUCUGUCCUGUCAGGAUAUUUCUUUGCUUCACAAGCCCAUCACAUGCACACAUCCUAAUUUGGGCUUUCCCAGUCUUCUAAUUUGAUCUCUGUACCAAAAUCAGAAAUCCCAAGGGCCCUGCAGUUGAGCAUUGUGAUCUGGUGCCACCUUAUCUUAUGUUAUGGAAUAAUGUGGUACAAGUCUACAAUUUCCCAGCUUGUGUGUCUGCUUGCCUGUGUGAGACACAAAGGGCCUUAAAGCACAAGCAGGCUUUUUAGAAAUCAAGUAACCCUUCCCGUUGCCCUGGGUAUUGUUCUGAUGCAUAUCUACUUUACCUACAAGCCAAUUCCCAAAAGCAAACCUCUAAAUACCAUUUUCUAGCCAUCAAGGACCAGCUCUUUUUAUGCCAUUAAGGAAGUCACUGGUAGCAAGUGUAGCUAAUAGAUCAUUGGUGUUAGAUGUUUUCAACAAAAGACUUAAUUAAUAAGUAAGCUGCAGCUGGAGUUCCUAAUGGUGUUGAAAUGGAGCUGCAGACAGUAAUUGAGUUAUGAGGUGGCAAAUGUAUGGAUAAGUAUCUUAAGGAGCCAGCUGGUAACCUGGGUCAGCAGCUGAGCACUUGGGACAGCAGGACACUGGGAGCAGAGGUAACAUCAAGCUGUUGUCAUGCCACUGGCACUACUAUGUGGCUGCAACAGCAACUGAUAUUUUUCUCCCCCCCAACAAGUUGGCACUCAGAGCAGCUACACUGUUUGCCCCACUAGCUAUGCUAUUGAAAGGAGCAUAUCUGAAAUAAGUAUUUACCUAACCAGGCUUUUUGGGCCAUGCAUCAACAUGACCAUCUAAUAACAACCUCAUUUGAAACAUAUUGGUAUAACUCUGGGUAUGAGUUCCAAAUACGGGUAACAUGUCUCUAACAAGAAUAUUAGGCCAAUUGCCUUCACCAGUCAAGAUAUGUUCUUAUAUCUGGACUCAGACAACUAGCUCUUGCAGAUAUUGGUAUGAACAAGAAAUAUCCCCCUUUCUCUCUCCCCAGAAAUUCCAUCAUGUGGCUUUAUAUCAUCACCUAAAUUAAUCAUCAGAUGUCUGUCACCUGAGCAAACAAUAGCAGACAGCAGUAGUGGGUAGGCUAGCACACAGGUUAAUCAUGGGUACUGUUUCAGGCUUUGGAGGAGAGUGUGUUUGAAUGCUCAUCAACACUUCUAUGUAUUUCCCCCCAGCUUGAUGCCAAUAUCUCUACUCCUUCCAAACUGUUCCCCAUCCCAGUCUAAUUUACCUCAUGUGUCCCUUUGUCUCUCAUAUGCUUUCAGCAAGCCACCCCACUUUUCUCCAAGGCAGAGAGAAGGAAGAACCUGGAUUUAACAGGCCAAAGGUGCAAUUGAAGGGAAAGUGUUGAUUAGUUCUAUGAUUAUCUCAUGUAGCUGCCCAGUGGGCAUGUCUACAUGUGUCCCUAUGGCACAUUUCUUGCUGAGCCAUCAUUUAGUAUUUCCUGUUGGAAGUACUAAAUGAUGGUGCAGUAACAGCCCACCCUGCACCGUGCGUGCCACGCAUGGUUAUUUUAGCUGCUAUGUCUUCAUAGCAACAGCAAUGUAGCUGCAGUGUCACAGUGAUGUAGUGUCACGUGUAGACACAUCCAAUGUAGACAGAAUCUUUGAGAAUGUUGGUGCUAAAAUCUAAUAAAUUUCCCGGGUUUUUGGUGACUGCAGUCUUUCAAAGGUUUUUAACUUGUUCCAGCUUAUAGAGACUAUCAGUAAAACAGCAAAAGUCACAGCCCUGAUACAAACGUUAUCCCCUGACAAAUUUAAAGACCUUUUAUCUAAAUUAUAGGAGUGCAAAGAAAGAAAAUCCACUAAAGUUCCUUAUCACUGGACCAAAUCAUUUGGGACUGAAAUUUUCCAAAAUUAUUCAGGCUUCAUGAGAUAUUUAACCAUAAAAAAUUUCAGGCCAAACAAUUACAAGUUAUAACCAAAUGAAAACCAUAUCUUAUAACAGGAUAUAUUAAGGUCAACCAACCUUAAAAACAGGGAUUGCUACCUGCCAUGUCUAGUUUAUUUAUAUUAAAUAUUCACACACACACAAAGGUACCAUCACAUGGCUAAUUACCUCUUUAGUGUUCCAAAAGGAUCAUUUUCCACAUUUCAUUGUCCAUGUCUCUGUUUUUAAUUAAAACCAUAGCCAGUUUCACCAUAUUUUCACUGUCUAGAAGCAACAGCAAAGCCAGACUUUACAUUACUUUAAGCAAAAAUACUUCAGCCAUGAAUUAAGUAUAAAUAAAUGAAGCACAGAUAAAUUUCAGCUCUAGGGAUGUUUCCCUGAAUGUAUUAAAAUGUGGCAAAUGCACACCACUUCAAAUAAAAAUACAAAUAUUUGUAACUCAAAUGCACAUAAUGCAAUACAGACACUUAUAAUAUCAAAUGGGUAGAACAAGGUAGCACAUUGGAAACCAACUAGUUCAAAAAAACACACAUAUAUCCAUAUAUCUUAAAAUGUGCUCUUAAUUCUAAAUAUGGAUAAAACGUUAAUUGCAUGAGCUUCUACUUGUCCCCAGCCAAGAGAGAUACUUAGAUUGUUGGCUAUCAUAUUGCUUGAUAAACAUUUUUGUCCUCAGAUUCAUAUCUGAUUAACUUGCCCUCCUGCAGUUACAGUUACAAACCACAGCUACAAUUAAAUGACAUGAAUGUAGUACCAGACUGCACACAUAUUUAUCGUUGCCAUUAUGGCCAUGUACAUACACACAUGUAUAAAAGUGCUGCAGCUGUUUCCAGCUGCCUUUGACCCAGCAGUAUGUAUCAACACUGAAUUAUCCUAAUUCAGUUGUCAGAACCAGUAAAAGACAAGCAGGCAAGCAUUAUGACAAGGGGAAAUAAUUAAUGCUUCUCUCCUUGCAAUGUUUCUACAUGUAGAAUCUUUCAAUGCUAUUUCAUCAGCACCAGAACAAAAGGGAACUUUUCUAAUUUGUUUCUUGACUAUGAAUGGCCAUGAGAUGAUAAAUUCAUUUCUACCAUCUCACCUACAAGAAGCAAAGCAAUUAAAAUAGAAAAAAAAUAGACAAAUAAACAUCAACAGAAAUGCAUAAUGCACUCAAGAAAAGCAAGGAUCUGCUGUUAUCAUGUUCCUAUUCUUCCCUGUCUGUUUAUGAACCUGAAUUGUGUAAUGUGACUUUGCAUAAUCUUUCAAACAGAGCAGGAACUUUACUUGUUCUGUAAAGUACCUCAUAUUUUUGAGUCUUCUCAAUGUAAUUUAUUAAUUGAAGAAAAUAGUGCUGGAAGGGACCUCAAGUGGUCACUGAGUCUCACUGUUUUGACAGGAUCACACCUGCCUAACAAUCUCAGACAAAUGUUUACCUAACCUUCAGUUUAAAACUUCUCUCUAGGUAAUCCAUGCUGGUGCUUAAAUGCUCUCAUAGUUGUAAAGACUUUCUUACUAACUAAAUCACGUUUGUUACAAUUGAAGUCAUUACUUCAUGUACCAUUGCCUGUGGAUUCUGGAAUUAUGGACAAAUAUAUUUGGAGCUGUUUCAAAAGAGGAAUGUUUCAAAAGGGCAACAGUUUUUACAUUCUGUUACAUGUGUACAAGCCCAGAAUGAUACAAAUGUAGCAAAACUGUUCCAACUUUAACCCUGGAUUAAGCAGUGGUCAAAAAGUAACAACUGCUGCCAUUUUAAAACAUUCCCCUUUUGGAAAGUCUCCAAGUUUAUGUGUGUCUAUACCUUAAAAACAAUUGUCCUCCUCUUCAUAAGAACUGUGUUUAUAUUAGAAGACUAUUACAAAUUCAUCUAGUCUUAACUUAGCUAGCUUAGCUUAGCUCAUUUUUCAGAUCUGCAGUCAUUUUGUUAAUCUUCUCUGGAUUCAUUUGUCCAUAUCUUUCUGAAGGGGCAGUGGCCAAAACUCUACAUAAUGACUGCGAUUAACCAUUAUUCACAAUUAAUAAUGCAUCCAUAAAUUGUGCUGCAAAAACACUUCAUCUUCUUAUGUAGGCAUGCCUAUGAGCUGCAGAUGCAAUAGUGACAUACCCUCUGUAUCAGGAACCAAAAAUGCUAAAGAUACUCUCUGUAUCUUAAGCAAAACAGGUACUAUUGAAAUACCAUUCUGUUCUAACACCAUGCCUUAAUCCUCAUCUGCCUUAAUCCUCAUCUGGAGACUCUCAGAUGCGGACAGGUAGCAUUUAAACAAAUCUCACAUCCCAUUUAAGUCUCCAAUCACUUUGCCAAGGCUAGCAGCAAAUCCACCUAUUAAUGCCAAAUGACACUAAUGUUUUGUUAUAUCAUGUUUUGUAAUUUGAUUGCACUGAGCACCUCAGCUCCAGAAAGCCAUCAGUAGUAAAUAGCUUGGCUUAGUUGAUUCUAAUCUUUUCCUCCUAUCAUUGCACCUUUUUGAGAAGAAGUAAGAGCUGUCAUAGAAUGAGAAAGAAUGGGAAGUAGGGUGGAGAAAGGAAACGAUAUGAAUAAAGGUAUCUGAAGGAUUGGAUGGAGUAAAGGAAAGGCAAAGGAAUAGGAAGAGACAGAUGAGGAAAUGGAAGGCUAGGAAUGGGAACAAGAGAAAAAUGAAAAUGGAGAGAAAGAGGAUGAGAAGGAAGAUGCAUGGAUUUUGUGUUUGCUGGGCACGUCUACACAAGCUACUACAUUGUCGUAGUGAUUCACUACAGUAGCUUGCCACUACAGCAACAUAGCAUGGGCAGGUACAAACCAUGACAUCAAUGUUAUGUUGCCGUAGUGAUGAGCUACCUUGCUAUAGCACUUCGCUAUGGCAACGUAGCUGCUAAAAAUAACUGUGCACUGCUGGGACUGCACGGUAAUGGCUGUUACUGUACUAUCAUUUGGUACUUCCUAAAGGAAGUACUAAAUGAUGGUGCAGUAACAGCUGUGCCAUGGGGGGCACGUGUAGAUGCACCCACUGUGUAUUAUAGAUGCAAAAGCUCAAGACUUACUAGUUCUAGUAUACAAACUUCUACCCAUUAAGCUAAAGAACUUCUAAAGUUGCAGAUAUAGGAAUAUUAUUGGCAUUAAUUGUUAGAAGCCUGGAGUCCCCUGUGGUUCAGUGGUAGAAUCCUUGCCUAUCAUACAGGAGACCUGGGUUCAAUUCUGACACUUAUACAACUACAGCCAUGGAGGCAGCAAACAUCUAGACUCAGUCUGGUCUUUGGAUUCUGUCUCAGUGGCCUAAAGAGAGGAUGGCAGGUCUGGGCAUCUUCCACUCCUCUGAAAAAAAAAUUCCUGCUCAGGCAUAUGCAUCAAAGGUGUGGGUGACCCUCGUGCAUAAAUCACUAUCCAGGAGGAUUGACAAUUGCCAUAUUAGAAACCUAGUAACUUCUCUGAGACUUUGGAGAGCCACAUGUUUAGGUAGAUCUGGUAUUUAAGCUAAAUAAAGCAGUGAUCUGCAACCUCUAUGCAGUGGUGGGCAAAACAGUUUGGCUCCAGGGCUGGCCAGACCUAAGAUUUAGCUGAUAUCCCUGCUGUUUGGAUGCAGCAGGGAUAUCAUGAACAAAACCCUUCACCACCAAGCAAUAGCUCUACCUUGGCAAAUCCCCUCAGUACCAAAGCCCUUAGGGCCAAGUUGCAGUGCAGCAUGGAAGAAGUCCCCAAUGCCAAACCCCUGGUUGCCUGCCUGUGAUGUGGCAUGAGAGAAGCCCCUCACUACUGAAGCAUCUUGGUCCAUGGGGUAAAAUCAAGAGCUCCACAGACUGAAUUUAGCUUGCAGGAGGUAGGUUGCUGAGAGCCAAGAUAGAAACAAUGAUGACUCACAAACCCUAUCCAUUAUAUUCCAAUGAAAAGAAAGAAACAGCUAGGGAAACAGAGUUUUCCCCUAACACAGGGCUCCAAGAGCUUGUGGCAGACAGUAACUUUUAUCCUUUUAUAUUGCUCCCUGACCAAGGAAAAGUGGGAGAGAAGAUGCGAACAACCCUACAUUUGGGAGAAAAGAUUACAGUAACCCUACAAGAAAUUGCUGAAGAGAUACAAAUCAUGUGUUUACAGAUAUUUAUCCAUGACUUUUCUGCACUUACUACGUUAUGCUUAUAUCCCCCUUGUGCUUAUGAUAUGUAUACCUGCAACCUCUAAGGGUACCUAUCACACGUGCAACAAGACUGCUCCUACCUGCUGUAAUUACAGCGCAUUGGAGCAGACUUGAUUAAUCAAUUAAUCAAGUUUGAUGGAGCCUAGUGUAGCCAGGGUAAGGUAGAUCAAUGAAUUCUCCCCUUUAGGGACUCUUCUGCCACGCCUUUGUUAUUGAAAGAAUGAGAAAAUAUGUUAAGUCCUGAGAGAUCAUGCAAUCCAUCACCCUGCUAGUAAGCAAAAUGAAAAUUGGUUUUAUUAAGCUUCUUUGCUAUGUAACCUGGGUACACCCAGGGGUGUGCCCUGUCUGCAAGUGGAAGGGAUGGGGUGGUCAGACAAGAGUGCUGCAAGACGGGCCUGCCACUGAGGAGCAGUUCCCUCUUUUCUCUAUAGAGCCAGGCUGGGACCAAGCACUUAACUAUAUACAAAUGUAUUGUUAUACAAAAAAAUAAAUAUGAAUAAGAGACAUUACAUAUUUACAGUAGAAUUAGUAUGUGACACCAUAUACAAUAACCUGCAAAUAACACAUUGUACUACUUUGAGGGACUGCAAAACAUAGAACAGGUAACUGGGAACUCAGUACAGGUGACCCACAGCACAGGUAAUAAUUAACCCCCCCUGCAAAGAUGAACAUUAACACCCUGGAACAGGUAAGUCAAGGCAUUAACAUAAUAAACACAUAUAAGCAUCAACUUAGAAACCAAUAUAAACCCCCUUAUGGAGUACCCAUAACUAUAUUAAGAUCAACAAUACAAAACAAACAUCAAUCACAAAAUAUGAGGUGCGAUCAGCACCCCAUGGGGUGUUCCCUGGAGCCACUCCCCUUUAGGGCCCAGGAUGUGGACACGCCCCCCACCCCCACAAUGGAACAGGGUGGAGGCUCCGGACUCUCCCCUCCCAAGGCUGCCUCCCCUGUGGGACCCAUUUCCCCAGCAACUCACACUCCCACUCUGAACAGACAAGGUUUGUCCCCUGGUAGCCAGUCCUGCAAAGGCCUCUCUCCAGUAGUGCCUCUGGUUCUCUCGAUGGCAGGUGCCCUGCACUGGGCAUCCAGGGAGCUUCUACAGGAGCUGAGACCUUACUGGCUCCAGUUCCCCAGCCUCACACCAGGGGUCUUUCCCCUUCCUGGGUCCUGUUCUGGGCACUGGGGCUCUUUUAGUUUAACACUGAGCCACACUGCAGGGCUCUGGCUACCUGGCCUACAGCCGGGGCUAACUUAAGCAGCCUCAAGCCGCUCUCGAGGUUGACUCUCCAUGUGCCAACCUGUGCACCGUGUGGGGCCUGAGCAGCCUUGAGCUGCUCUCAGGGCCAGUUCUAUGUGCACUGAUCCAUGCACCGCCCCACCCAGCCACUUGCUGGGUUCGGUGGCUCAAGCUACCUUGAGCAGUUCCCAGAGCCUGAGCGCUGUGCACUGAUCCACACACCAUCGAGGCUCAGGCGGGGUCCCAAUGAUGACCUUCUCUGGAGCUCCUCUCUCCUCGCCGUCCCUUGCCAAAUCUGUCCAGCAUGCUGAGCAUACUAGACUUUUAUUUACACUGAAGGCCCUGCCCCUAAGUCCACCAGAGCUGCAAAGCACCGUCUUCAAUAAAGUCCAGGGGCUCUUCACCCCCCUCACCACCCAGCAAAGGCAGGGCAAGCCCCUCCCCACUGUUACCUGAUUGGUGGAAAUGUUCCACCAAUCUGAAAUGUCCUUCUCCAAGCCUGGCUUGCUGGGCAGAAGUGGCAAGCCCACCACAGCUACAAUCACUGUCCACAACUUUACUUUCAUUUUUCCCACUUGGUUGCUGUAGCAGGACACUAAGGUGCCUGCUACUGAGAGAGCACGGAAGACUCCUCAGGUGCUGGUUGCCAGGGUAAUGGGAGGCAGCAAAUGACUCACACCUGCCAGCGGUCAGGGCUAUAAGAGGCAAGGCCUGGCUCUUAUGAGAAGGGAAGAGGGUAGCUGAGACCAGAGGCAUUUGCUGAUUGGCAUCUAAGACAGCAGGCGCUCCCUGCCAGAGAGAGAGAGAAACUCCUGGAGCAUGAUACAAGGAGAAUCCUGACUGCAGGUACUGCUUGCAGAUUAAAGGGUACCAGCUCCAAAGAAGGGCCUGGUGAGGAGGGCAACCUUGCAGGGGGAAGAGCCGUGGUGAGAAGGGCAACCUUGCAGGGGGAAGAGCCGUGGUGAGAAGGGCGGCGUAUAGAGAAGACCCGCAAGGCCUAGACACGCCGGACACCCGGAGCAGGAGAACUGUGGCCAAGUGGCGGAGAGGUCCCUGCUUCCUGCCUCAGUCCCACCAGGAGUUUCCCUCGUCAGACCCACCAGGACAGACAAGAUUUAUGGGGACAUAAGGACAACAUGACUACAGAACUGGACUCCUUUUUCGCAAGAGAGGAAGCUACUGCCCUCACAGGAAACCAGCUGCCCUGCUCCACCUCCAGCGAUUGUCAUUAAAUAAAAUGGAUGACUAUUUAAAGUACAAAAUUCAUUAGGGACAGGAAGCAAGAGCUAGAACCGAAGAUUAUCUCCCUUCCAGAGUUAUAUAAUUAUCCACAACUAAUACUUUCUAUCUCUGAUUGGUUAGGAGACUUUAUUCACCAUAAUGGAAUCAUGACCUGUCCUUAGGUAUUCAUACCUUCAUCACCUCUCAGCUAGACUACACAGCAAUGUGAUAUACUUGUGCAUGAUGCCUCCACAUACUUAGGAAACUCCAGUUGCUGCAGAAUAGUACAGUACAUUUCCUCACAAGCUUUGGUAAACACGUCAAAUCUUUUCUUUACAACCUAUGCUAACUUCCCAUAGAACACAAAAUCAAGUUCAAAGUCUUUUUCCUAAACUUCAAGGUUCUUAUUUGCCUCAGCUCAAGGAACAUUACAUUGAGACUGGGCAUGCCACCAAGAAAUAAGCCCUGUUCACCUGCACACCAGCUUGCAAAUUUGUAGAAAAGAUGACUCAAUGCAGCCUCAAGCAUUCACCCUGGAACACACAGGACAGACAGCCUAAACAUGGUGCUUGUCAGAGGUGUAGCUGCCUAAGACUGCACCCAGACCAGUCUGUACCUUCUGGUUCUGGAGCAGUGGGUAGAAGCAGCAACUGAAAUUCACUGCUGUUGAGGGCAGUGAAUUAAACUCACAACUAGGGCAUUAAACAGUAUGACUAAAAUCUGCCAUGAAUUUGUUCCCUCUUCCUCUCCCCAGGUGGAGAAUAGUAUGCUUAUAGUAUGUGAAGCUUGUCUACUGCCUGGGUAUUGCAUUUCCCAAUAAUACCAUGAAAUUAGAAUCAUUUGGAAUUUGAAAAGCUCCUCACAUAAAACAAGGAUAAGGAAUAUUAGUAAUUAAUAUGGCUUUACACCUCUUUUUUUGCCACAGACACCCAUCCUUACACUACUGGUGCUUAGAUAUGCAGUUGUAGCCAUGUCCAGCCAUCUCCUCCACAAAUUUUCAAGCCACAGGGUUUACACAAUGGGUCGGUCUUAUUUCUUAGAAGCAUACCCAGUGUCAGGAGGCAGUGAAGAUAGCCCCUAAAAGCCUUCCUUGAGUUCUAAGGAGAAGGCUGUAAUUGUAACUUCAGCAGUGGCAGCAGAAAUCCUUCAAAAUAGAGGAUGAUGAAUCCCAUGGGUCAAGUGAAGGGUUGUAAAUGAGUCCACUGGUGGCUAAGAAGGGCGAUCAUAGAACCACAGACUCUCUGGCAAAUGCCACAGGUGGUGGCUAAAAGCAGAGUUGGACCAUGGAUUUCUCAGCCUUGUUUGCUUUCUUUCCAUUUCUGUUGUUUUUCUGCCUCCAGGGCAAAAUGGUUUUCCUCAAAGUAGGAUGUACCUUCUCUCACAAGGCAUCACUAUGUAGCUCUGUCCCAAGCUAGUUUUUCCCAAUUUGUGGUGUCAGUGCCACACUUCUUAAUGUUUUGCUUGAGUACAUCCUUGAAGUGUUUCCUCUGGCCCCCACAUGUCCUUUGUCCUUGGCUGAGUUGGGAGUAUAGCAGUUGUAUCAGUAAAAAUACAUUAGGCAUGUACACACAAUGCCCUGUACACAGCAACUGAUGUUGAAUAAUCAAUACUUCCAUACCGGUGGUGGUAGCAUUGAUGAGGACACUGGUAUUUGUGCAACAAUCCUCCCACUUCAUGCCAAGGAUCUUCUGGAGAUAGUGCUGGUGAUGGUGUUCUAGACUUUUCAGGUGGUCCCUGUAGAUCACCUAAGC